CAGGCUGGCACGGAGGGGUCCGGCACUAUAAGUAGUGCCCAUCUGUGGUGCGAUGUCUCAUGGUCUGCGGCUGGCACGGAGAUGGCGUCCGACCUGAGUAGUGGGAUGAUUGCCGAGAGAAUUCUCACAGUUCCAGGCUGGUUUCCAUUCAACACCCACAUUCCAAUGUGCGAAGAGUGUUUUCUACAAGAAGGCAGAUUCUUUGUUUGUCGCCUAUGAAAAUUCUCUUGGCUGAUGUUUCCUUAGGAAUGUCAUCAUACAGGCUCUGCUCAGAAUAGAAGCCACAAACAUAAUCAUCUGUCUUUCCCUGGAAUACAAGUCUGACUUCUACUCUGCUUUGUUUCAUUCAGAUUUUCCCAGCUUGCAAUGCGGACGAGACCUGACUCACUAGUCAGCUGAUGACAUGGAGUCUGUCUGCUUCAAUGGGUGGAAGGAUCGCUUGGAAGAGAAAUCAAUCUGCAACAGCUGUAGGCACCCUGAUUGAAAACCACACUGAUUUGAAUGGAUGCAGCUCAUUUAUGUUUCAAUGGGUGGGGUGGCUGAUGUGUGGGAGGGAGGAAGAUGGAAUUGUGGGAUUUGUAGUCAAAAAAAGAAAAGUCAAAAAGGAAAUACUAGUUCACAAAAAGCUAGCCACAGUGUUAUGGUAAUCUCACAACAUAGCCAUUUAGCCCCAAGACAA
Hyla sarda is the source of this 679-nucleotide long non-coding RNA. RefSeq lists it as uncharacterized. The transcript has 3 exons. NCBI's taxonomy places the organism in Eukaryota, Metazoa, Chordata, Amphibia, Anura, Hylidae. The record is from RefSeq and is a predicted model, not a curated record.